Molecule: ribosomal RNA, 491 nt
Filed under: uncultured bacterium
Lineage: Bacteria
Description: partial 16S ribosomal RNA
Rfam family: Bacterial small subunit ribosomal RNA
Source: RNAcentral
AGUGAACGCUGGCGGUAGGCCUACACCAUGAAGUCGAACGGCAGCACAGUAAGACUUUGCCGUUACGGGUGGCGAGAGGGGGACGGGUGAGGAAUACAAAGGAACCUUCUUUUUUGGGGGGGAUUACGUAGGGAAACCUAAGCUAAUACCGGAUACGACCGACGGGUGAAAGCAGGUGGUCUUUGUACCUUGCGCGAUUGAAUGACGCGAUGUCGGAUUAGCUUGGUGGUGGGGUAAAGGCCCAACAAGUCGACGAUCCGUAGGUGGUCUGAGAGGAUGAUAACCCGCACUGGAACUGAGACACGGUCCAGACUCCUACGGGAGGCAGCAGUGGGGAAUAUUGGACAAUGGGCGCAAGCCUGAUCCAGCCAUACCGAGUGGGUGAAGAAGGCCUUCGGGUUGUAAAGCCCUUUUGUUGGGAAAGAAAAGCAGCAGGUUAAUACCCAGCUGUUCUGACGGUACCCAAAGAAUAAGCACCGGCUAACUUCGUG